Molecule: non-coding RNA, 23 nt
Filed under: Cricetulus griseus (Chinese hamster)
Lineage: Eukaryota; Metazoa; Chordata; Mammalia; Rodentia; Cricetidae
Source: RNAcentral
AACUUUUGAUUCCUGAUGAACAG